This is a long non-coding RNA of Arabidopsis thaliana (thale cress), 241 nucleotides long. RefSeq annotates it as other RNA. The record is from RefSeq. The transcript has a single exon. Lineage: Eukaryota; Viridiplantae; Streptophyta; Magnoliopsida; Brassicales; Brassicaceae.
CUUACUACAUAUACUUUACGUUGCAAAUUUAUAAAUACCAACCCAUGUCAGUGUCUUGUUGGUGUUGCUUAAAAAGAAUGACACAAAUAUUAAAUUCCACGUAGGGACCUUCGCUGAUCAUUACAUAUUCGGUUCGUUUUCACUUAUCACGUGGGUAAUAUUUGAUGUUAUGAAAGUGUUCAAAAACUACGUAAAUUAUAGUUUUUGCACCCAAAAAAUAAAAUACAAAUGGUUGAGUUUG